AUUUGAGAAGAGGAGUUCAUCAAGAAGGUCCAUGUCAGACUGGCCUCCUGGGUUGCAUCAUAUAGUGAUGGGUGUGAAAGUCACUUUAGCCGUCUGAAGAACGUUUAGUACAUUAAGUGACUGUUAGACAGUAACUCUUGUAGAGGAGACACAGCAAUCUGAUAUUUAAUCUACCUUCCUCGGACAGGUUAAUCAGGAAGAUGGGAGGUGGGAGAAGUGCUGCGAAGAGCCUCUGGCUUCAUCACAGACCUUGAGCCUGCAGGGAACAGUCUGCAACAAGAAGCCUUUGACUGGACACCAACUGAUGCUUUGAUUUGCGAGGGAUUCCAUAAAAGGUCAUAUGUUUCUGCACUGAUCCUCCACUUGCCUCAGGUGGGAAUGCUCUGGAGCCUAUGUGAGCUCCUUGCACCAUCACACUAAGCUGUAGUGUUUGCACUGUUGAAAUGAGACCUGGAGCCAUGCUGACCUAGACCUCCUUUGCCAAAGAGAAGGUGCCUGAAGUUCAAGAGGGAGGCAGACCGGGAAGAAGUCCAACUUUCUGGGUGUGUAGCAGUUUUUUAUGCAAGUAUCAUGAAAUGAAAUGCUCUGUCCUGAAAUGGUAGUUACUUAGCUUUAACUUUGUGGCCACAAAGGUUUGAGC
This 640-nucleotide long non-coding RNA is filed under the name Calidris pygmaea (Spoon-billed sandpiper). Its description in RNAcentral is "lncRNA (ENSCPGG00000018319.1)". Lineage: Eukaryota; Metazoa; Chordata; Aves; Charadriiformes; Scolopacidae. The record is from RNAcentral.